AGUGAACGUUGGCGGCGUGGAUUAGGCAUGCGAGUCGAGCGAGAACCGUAGCAAUACGGGGACAGCGGCGAAAGGGACAGUGAUGUGUAGGUACCUACCCCGAGGUCUGGGAUAGCUGCGGGAAACUGCAGGUAAUACCGGAUAAUGUCUUCGGACCAAAGGUGUGAUUCCACCUUGGGAGGGGCCUGCAUCCUAUUAGCUUGUUGGCGGGGUAACGGCCCACCAAGGCGACGAUGGGUAGCGGGUGUGAGAGCACGACCCGCGUCAUUGGGACUGAGGCACUGCCCAGCCGCCUACGGGUGGCUGCAGUGUGGGAUCUUCGGCAAUGGGCGCAAGCCUGACCGAGCGACGCCGCGUGCGGGAUGAAGGCCUUCGGGUUGUAAACCGCUGUCGUAGAGGAGGAAAUGCAGGGGGGUUCUCCCUUCUGUUUGACCUAUUCUAGGAGGAAGGACGGGCUCAGUUCGUGCCAGCAGCCGCCGUAA
This 482-nucleotide ribosomal RNA is filed under the name uncultured bacterium. RNAcentral's name for it is "partial 16S ribosomal RNA". It matches the Rfam family "Bacterial small subunit ribosomal RNA", at positions 28 to 523 of the family's 1533-position model. The record is from RNAcentral.